Molecule: ribosomal RNA, 253 nt
Filed under: uncultured bacterium
Lineage: Bacteria
Description: partial 16S ribosomal RNA
Rfam family: Bacterial small subunit ribosomal RNA
Source: RNAcentral
UACAGAGGUCCCAAGCGUUGUUCGGAUUCAUUGGGCGUAAAGGGUGCGUAGGCGGCGCGGUAAGUCGGGUGUGAAAUCUCGGAGCUUAACCCCGAAACUGCAUUCGAUACUGCCGUGCUUGAGGACUGGAGAGGAGACUGGAAUUUACGGUGUAGCGGUGAAAUGCGUAGAUAUCAGGAGGAACACCGGUGGCGAAGGCGGGUCUCUGGGCCGAUACUGACGCUGAGGAGCGAAAGCGUGGGGAGCGAACAGG